This 254-nucleotide ribosomal RNA is filed under the name uncultured bacterium. Its description in RNAcentral is "partial 16S ribosomal RNA". It matches the Rfam family "Bacterial small subunit ribosomal RNA", at positions 524 to 776 of the family's 1533-position model. The record is from RNAcentral.
UACGGGGGGAGCAAGCGUUGUUCGGAUUUACUGGGCGUAAAGGGCGCGUAGGCGGCCACCGCAAGUCGACUGUGAAAUCUCCGGGCUUAACCCGGAACGGUCGGCCGAUACUGCGGGGCUAGAGUGCAGAAGGGGCAACUGGAAUUCUCGGUGUAGCGGUGAAAUGCGUAGAUAUCGAGAGGAACACCUGCGGCGAAGGCGGGUUGCUGGGCUGACACUGACGCUGAGGCGCGAAAGCUAGGGGAGCGAACGGG